AGUGAACGCUGGCGGUAGGCCUAACACAUGCAAGUCGAACGGAAGCACAGUAAGAGCUUGCUCUUACGGGUGGCGAGUGGCGGACGGGUGAGGAAUACAUCGGAAUCUACUUUUUCGUGGGGGAUAACGUAGGGAAACUUACGCUAAUACCGCAUACGACCUACGGGUGAAAGCAGGGGAUCUUCGCACCUUGCGCGAUUGAUUGAGCCGAUGUCGGAUUAGCUAGUUGGCGGGGUAAAGGCCCACCAAGGCGACGAUCCGUAGCUGGUCUGAGAGGAUGAUCGGCCACACUGGAACUGAGACACGGUCCAGACUCCUACGGGAGGCAGCAGUAGGGAAUAUUGGACAAUGGGCGCAAGCCUGAUCCAGCCAUACCGCGUGGGUGAAGAAGGCCUUCGGGUUGUAAAGCCCUUUUGUUAGGAAAGAAAAGCAGCAGGUUAAUACCCCGCUGUUCUGACGGUACCCAAAGAAUAAGCACCGGCUAACUUCGUG
This 492-nucleotide ribosomal RNA is filed under the name uncultured bacterium. RNAcentral's name for it is "partial 16S ribosomal RNA". It matches the Rfam family "Bacterial small subunit ribosomal RNA", at positions 29 to 507 of the family's 1533-position model. The record is from RNAcentral.